Molecule: small nucleolar RNA, 99 nt
Filed under: Cicer arietinum (chickpea)
Lineage: Eukaryota; Viridiplantae; Streptophyta; Magnoliopsida; Fabales; Fabaceae
Source: RNAcentral
UUGAAGGCUAUGAUGUUGAAAAACUACCUAUUUUAUGAGCGAAUGGAAAACUUUCCUUUGUGAUUAUAAAAUUACCAAUGGAUCCUUCUGAGCCUUCCA